GAGGCCAUACCAUGCUGAAUAUACCGGUUCUCGUUAGAUCACCGAAGUUAAGCAUCAUUGGGCGCGGUCAGUACUUGGGUGGGUGACCACCUGGGAACAACA
RNAcentral lists this ribosomal RNA (102 nucleotides) under Caerostris darwini. The record is from RNAcentral. Lineage: Eukaryota; Metazoa; Arthropoda; Arachnida; Araneae; Araneidae.